CAAAAAUGCACAUAUUGUGAGCUCGAUGAGUAGGGCGGGACACGUGGUAUCCUGUCUGAAUAUGGGGGGACCAUCCUCCAAGGCUAAAUACUCCUGACUGACCGAUAGUGAACCAGUACCGUGAGGGAAAGGCGAAAAGAACCCCGGCGAGGGGAGUGAAAAAGAACCUGAAACCGUGUACGUACAAGCAGUGGGAGCACGCUUAGGCGUGUGACUGCGUACCUUUUGUAUAAUGGGUCAGCGACUUAUAUUCUGUAGCAAGGUUAACCGAAUAGGGGAGCCGAAGGGAAACCGAGUCUUAACUGGGCGUUAAGUUGCAGGGUAUAGACCCGAAACCCGGUGAUCUAGCCAUGGGCAGGUUGAAGGUUGGGUAACACUAACUGGAGGACCGAACCGACUAAUGUUGAAAAAUUAGCGGAUGACUUGUGGCUGGGGGUGAAAGGCCAAUCAAACCGGGAGAUAGCUGGUUCUCCCCGAAAGCUAUUUAGGUAGCGCCUCGUGAAUUCAUCUCCGGGGGUAGAGCACUGUUUCGGCAAGGGGGUCAUCCCGACUUACCAACCCGAUGCAAACUGCGAAUACCGGAGAAUGUUAUCACGGGAGACACACGGCGGGUGCUAACGUCCGUCGUGAAGAGGGAAACAACCCAGACCGCCAGCUAAGGUCCCAAAGUCAUGGUUAAGUGGGAAACGAUGUGGGAAGGCCCAGACAGCCAGGAUGUUGGCUUAGAAGCAGCCAUCAUUUAAAGAAAGCGUAAUAGCUCACUGGUCGAGUCGGCCUGCGCGGAAGAUGUAACGGGGCUAAACCAUGCACCGAAGCUGCGGCAGCGACACUGUGUGUUGUUGGGUAGGGGAGCGUUCUGUAAGCCUGUGAAGGUGUGCUGUGAGGCAUGCUGGAGGUAUCAGAAGUGCGAAUGCUGACAUAAGUAACGAUAAAGCGGGUGAAAAGCCCGCUCGCCGGAAGACCAAGGGUUCCUGUCCAACGUUAAUCGGGGCAGGGUGAGUCGACCCCUAAGGCGAGGCCGAAAGGCGUAGUCGAUGGGAAACAGGUUAAUAUUCCUGUACUUGGUGUUACUGCGAAGGGGGGACGGAGAAGGCUAUGUUGGCCGGGCGACGGUUGUCCCGGUUUAAGCGUGUAGGCUGGUUUUCCAGGCAAAUCCGGAAAAUCAAGGCUGAGGCGUGAUGACGAGGCACUACGGUGCUGAAGCAACAAAUGCCCUGCUUCCAGGAAAAGCCUCUAAGCAUCAGGUAACAUCAAAUCGUACCCCAAACCGACACAGGUGGUCAGGUAGAGAAUACCAAGGCGCUUGAGAGAACUCGGGUGAAGGAACUAGGCAAAAUGGUGCCGUAACUUCGGGAGAAGGCACGCUGAUAUGUAGGUGAAGCGACUUGCUCGUGGAGCUGAAAUCAGUCGAAGAUACCAGCUGGCUGCAACUGUUUAUUAAAAACACAGCACUGUGCAAACACGAAAGUGGACGUAUACGGUGUGACGCCUGCCCGGUGCCGGAAGGUUAAUUGAUGGGGUCAGCGCAAGCGAAGCUCUUGAUCGAAGCCCCGGUAAACGGCGGCCGUAACUAUAACGGUCCUAAGGUAGCGAAAUUCCUUGUCGGGUAAGUUCCGACCUGCACGAAUGGCGUAAUGAUGGCCAGGCUGUCUCCACCCGAGACUCAGUGAAAUUGAACUCGCUGUGAAGAUGCAGUGUACCCGCGGCAAGACGGAAAGACCCCGUGAACCUUUACUAUAGCUUGACACUGAACAUUGAGCCUUGAUG
Molecule: ribosomal RNA, 1767 nt
Filed under: Escherichia coli
Lineage: Bacteria; Pseudomonadati; Pseudomonadota; Gammaproteobacteria; Enterobacterales; Enterobacteriaceae
Description: partial 23S ribosomal RNA
Rfam family: Bacterial large subunit ribosomal RNA
Source: RNAcentral